Molecule: long non-coding RNA, 765 nt
Filed under: Callithrix jacchus (white-tufted-ear marmoset)
Lineage: Eukaryota; Metazoa; Chordata; Mammalia; Primates; Cebidae
Description: lncRNA (ENSCJAG00000076478.1)
Source: RNAcentral
CCCAUCCACUGUGACUCAUAUGGCUAAUUAUCUACUGAAAAGUGUCCACAGGGAAGAGACUUUUGGCAGUGGAAUUAUAUACAUCAGUUUUUUGAGGUUAGGCCUUACUCUUGUUUAUGUCUCAACUCAAGCGGAGUUCCUUUAAGAUGAAAUCAAGAUGUAAUUUAGAUGAUGUUUUACUAAAGUGUAGCUUGCUGCGGUGACGAUGGCAGGCCCCGCUUGGAUCUGCCUCCAAGAAGAGCUUGCUGGAAAGCUGGAGGAGCGUGCUAGCCAGUGUAACUGCCAGAGGAGUUCUUCCUGCUCCUUUCACAAAGAAGGACCUUGGCAUUGCAGUAAAGAAGGAGUUUAGGAGACACGAGGCUGAGCACACCACGUGGGAGCCAGAGUGGGAACCAGCCAUUGCACAAGCAGCCUCCACCCUUCAGAGGAAUGAAUUCCUCUCCAUUUCGGCCAACACCACGGAAUACACUGGAAAGAAGAUGAGAGGUUGGUGUUCUGAUGUUACUAGGCCCUCGUUUUCUCUGGCUCACUGGCUUUUAGAGCUGGAAGGGCCCUGUGCAUGAUGUAUUCUCUAAACCCGUCCUAGAGCAAGCAAGAAGGUGGGUUGGUCAUGCUGUCCUCUGGGGCAGGCCGUCCCAGUUUACACUCCCACAACAGAGUAUGGGAAUCUCUGCGUAUGCUGGGUUUGUCCCACAAAGGAAAUAGAUGAGGGAGCACAGACAGUGAAGGCCAACCAAAUAGUCAACCCCGCCUCUCACUUCCAAG